UACGGAGGUUGCAAGCGUUAUCCGGAUUUAUUAGGUUUAAAGGGUGCGUAGGCGGGCAAUUAAGUCAGUGGUGAAAAUAUGUGGCUCAACCAUAUACCUGCCAUUGAUACUGAUAGUCUUGAAUUUAGUUGAGGUAGGCGGAAUGUGUAGUGUAGCGGUGAAAUGCUUAGAUAUUACACAGAACACCAAUUGCGAAGGCAGCUUACUAAACUACGAUUGACGCUGAUGCACGAAAGCGUGGGUAGCGAACAGG
RNAcentral lists this ribosomal RNA (253 nucleotides) under uncultured bacterium. RNAcentral describes it as "partial 16S ribosomal RNA". It matches the Rfam family "Bacterial small subunit ribosomal RNA", at positions 524 to 776 of the family's 1533-position model. The record is from RNAcentral.